Molecule: ribosomal RNA, 537 nt
Filed under: Alexandrium margalefii
Lineage: Eukaryota; Dinophyceae; Gonyaulacales; Pyrocystaceae
Description: partial Bacterial large subunit ribosomal RNA
Rfam family: Bacterial large subunit ribosomal RNA
Source: RNAcentral
ACGCGGUAAAGUGAAACAUCUCAGUAACCGCAGGAAAAGAAAGAGAAUCGAUUCCGUAAGUAGCGGCGAGCGAAAGCGGAACAGCCCAAACCAAAAUGAUUUAUCGUUUUGGGGUUGUAGGACUAUAAUGUGAGGAGCAACGGAUAGAAGAACACUCUGGAAAGGGUGACCAUAGAGGGUGACAGUCCCGUAGUUGAAAUCCCGCGCCGAUCUAGUAGUAUCCUGAGUAGCACCGGACACGUGAAACCCGGUGUGAAUCUGCGCCGACCACGGCGUAAGGCUAAAUACAAUAUGACGACCGACAGUGAACUAGUACCGCGAGGGAAAGGUGAAAAGCACCCCUGUUAGGGGAGUGAAAUAGUAACUGAAACCGAUGGCUAACAAAUCAGUAGGAGCUCCCUUGUGGAGUGACUGCCUGCCUUUUGUAUAAUGAGUCUGCGAGUUAAUGUCCGUAGCAAGCCUAAGCCGCUCAGCGGUGGAGGCGCAGCGAAAGCGAGUCUGAAUAGGGCGCUCAGUUGCUGGCAUUAGACCCGAAGG